CUUAAUCAGAUCACUGUUGUUUGCUAUUUAUUCAUGAAUUUCACGUUUGAAUAAGAGAUAGAAUAACUAUCGUAUGGUUUACGUUUUCGGUAUUGCCAAGGUAGCCUACAUCAAAUAUGAUGUAGGCCUACCGUAUUAUUUUAAGAGUGAUAAAUUGUGAUGGAUCCAUAUCUUUUAUUGUAUUGUUUUAACGCAAGCGUAGCUGUUGUGAUGGUCUGUCCCUGCUCGGUGUUUGGCACGUGGCCCAACUGGGUGGAGCGUAGCUUAGCCACUGUGUUGCUUUGCGUUGUUUUCUCCACCGCACGCCAGUGCUUAUGCAGCGAUAGCAGAAGAAGGACCUCAUGUGCAGAGGAGACGCCGAUGCAAAUUGGGGAAUUACUCCGGGACAUCCCUUGAAUUGACUUGACAUUCGUCCCGCAUUGGACACUGGAUUUUGUGUUCUGAUAACCCAAAGCACCCGUUUCAUUUGCCGCACCGUUUGCAGGGGGGGGCUGCAGAACCUGCUGGGGAUCGCUGCUGCUGCUGUCACCGAGUCGCGGGAAGACAAGGACGUUCCACCUAUUCACUUGUGAUCACCGCACAGGGCUGUUUUGUGAAGCACCUCCGUGAUACCAACACACACACUCUCACCUGGAAGUGUCCGUGGAUCGUCAAAUGUUGUGCCGUGGCCCAAUGGACUUGAGCGUGCGAGGAGAAUGCUAAUGAACGUCGCGCUGCGUCCUGCCGACGCGCGCUAUCCUCCAGUGCUGCUGAGGGGCGACAGCAGAGAUCGUCUUCUGACUCUGCCUGUAGCAAGAGCUCUUGCAUGCAUUGACCCCAUGGACAGACCAUCUAUAAACCAACAUCGGAAGAACAUCUUUGUGUUUGUACUUUGGCUGUGUGUGUGUGUGUGUGUGUGUGUGUGUGUGUGUGUGUGUGUGUGUGUGAGCAUGUGUGUGAGCAUGUGUGUGUGUGUCUGUUUUCUGAAAGGCUUCCCCACAAUGAAUUGA
Molecule: long non-coding RNA, 989 nt
Filed under: Gadus morhua (Atlantic cod)
Lineage: Eukaryota; Metazoa; Chordata; Actinopteri; Gadiformes; Gadidae
Description: lncRNA (ENSGMOG00000035600.1)
Source: RNAcentral